GACGAACGCUGGCGGCGUGCUUAACACAUGCAAGUCGAACGGGAGUAUUGAAGAAGCUUGCUUUAGAGAUACUUUAGUGGCGGACGGGUGAGUAACGCGUGAGGAGCUGUCCUAUGCAGGGGGACAACAGCUGGAAACGGCUGCUAAUACCCCAUAAGCCGAGAGGUAAAAGGAUCAAUCCGGCAGAGGAGGUACUCGCGUCCUAUCAGCUAGUAGGUGAGGUAACGGCUCACCAAGGCGAUGACGGGUAGCUGGUCUGAGAGGAUGAUCAGCCUCGAUGGGACUGAGACACGGCCCAUACUCCUACGGGAGGCAGCAGUUGGGGAUUUUGCACAAUGGAGGAAACUCUGAUGCAGCGACACUGCGUGAAGGAUGAAGGUUCUAGGAUCGUAAACUUCUUUUAUCAGGGAGUAAUCUUGAAAGUACCUGAUGAAUAAGGACCGGCUAACUACGUG
This 455-nucleotide ribosomal RNA is filed under the name uncultured bacterium. RNAcentral's name for it is "bacterial SSU rRNA". It matches the Rfam family "Bacterial small subunit ribosomal RNA", at positions 28 to 507 of the family's 1533-position model. The record is from RNAcentral.